Molecule: unclassified non-coding RNA, 219 nt
Filed under: Hevea brasiliensis (rubber tree)
Lineage: Eukaryota; Viridiplantae; Streptophyta; Magnoliopsida; Malpighiales; Euphorbiaceae
Source: RNAcentral
AAAUUCUUGCCAACAAUUCAUGGAAUUAAACACAAUAUGCAUAAUAAAUACUAUAAAAUAAAUUUGCAUCUUAAUUUCAUUAUGAAUCGAACUUAAGUGAGCUUGUUCCCUUAAAAUAAUAAGUUUUGUGAGCUUUGUGACACUUUAUUGUAAAAUAUUAAUAAUGUCAAUGUGGCCUUAAAAGGUCAAUUUAGCUUCCAAAACUUAUUAUUUUAAGGG